GACGAACGCUGGCGGCGUGCUUAGCACAUGCAAGUCGAACGGAAAGGCCCUGCUUUUGUGGGGUGCUCGAGUGGCGAACGGGUGAGUAACACGUGAGUAACCUGCCCUUGACUUUGGGAUAACUUCAGGAAACUGGGGCUAAUACCGGAUAGGAGCUCCUGCUGCAUGGUGGGGGUUGGAAAGUUUCGGCGGUUGGGGAUGGACUCGCGGCUUAUCAGCUUGUUGGUGGGGUAGUGGCUUACCAAGGCUUUGACGGGUAGCCGGCCUGAGAGGGUGACCGGCCACAUUGGGACUGAGAUACGGCCCAGACUCCUACGGGAGGCAGCAGUGGGGAAUAUUGCACAAUGGGCGGAAGCCUGAUGCAGCAACGCCGCGUGCGGGAUGACGGCCUUCGGGUUGUAAACCGCUUUCGCCUGUGACGAAGCGUGAGUGACGGUAAUGGGUAAAGAAGCACCGGCUAACUACG
This 466-nucleotide ribosomal RNA is filed under the name uncultured bacterium. RNAcentral describes it as "partial 16S ribosomal RNA". It matches the Rfam family "Bacterial small subunit ribosomal RNA", at positions 28 to 505 of the family's 1533-position model. The record is from RNAcentral.